GGCCCCAUCGUCUAGCGGUCAAGGAUUUCUGAAUUUCGAUCAGAAGACACGGGUUCGAGUCCCGUUGGGGCUAUCA
Molecule: transfer RNA, 76 nt
Filed under: Allocoleopsis franciscana PCC 7113
Lineage: Bacteria; Bacillati; Cyanobacteriota; Cyanophyceae; Coleofasciculales; Coleofasciculaceae
Description: Microcoleus sp. PCC 7113 tRNA-Glu
Rfam family: tRNA
About the family: Transfer RNA (tRNA) molecules are approximately 80 nucleotides in length.
Source: RNAcentral